Molecule: ribosomal RNA, 549 nt
Filed under: uncultured Glomus
Lineage: Eukaryota; Fungi; Glomeromycota; Glomeromycetes; Glomerales; Glomeraceae
Description: SSU rRNA
Rfam family: Eukaryotic small subunit ribosomal RNA
Source: RNAcentral
UUGGAGGGCAAGUCUGGUGCCAGCAGCCGCGGUAAUUCCAGCUCCAAUAGCGUAUAUUAAAGUUGUUGCAGUUAAAAAGCUCGUAGUUGAAUUUCGGGAUCAAAUAAUCGGUCGUGCCUCCGGUACGUACUGGUUUUAUUGGUUCCUCCCUUCUGACGAACCAUGAUGUCAUUAAUUUGAUGUGGUGGAGAAUCAGGACUGUUACCUUGAAAAAAUUAGAGUGUUUAAAGCAGGCUCACGCUUGAAUACAUUAGCAUGGAAUAAUGAAAUAGGACAUCCGAUUCUAUUUUGUUGGUUUCUAGGAUCGAUGUAAUGAUUAAUAGGGAUAGUUGGGGGCAUUAGUAUUCAAUUGUCAGAGGUGAAAUUCUUGGAUUUAUUGAAGACUAACUACUGCGAAAGCAUUUGCCAAGGAUGUUUUCAUUAAUCAAGAACGAAAGUUAGGGGAUCGAAGACGAUCAGAUACCGUCGUAGUCUUAACCAUAAACUAUGCCGACUAGGGAUCGGAUGAUGUUAAUUUUUUAAUGACUCAUUCGGCGCCUUACGGGAAAC